This 468-nucleotide ribosomal RNA is filed under the name uncultured bacterium. RNAcentral's name for it is "partial 16S ribosomal RNA". It matches the Rfam family "Bacterial small subunit ribosomal RNA", at positions 28 to 507 of the family's 1533-position model. The record is from RNAcentral.
GACGAACGCUGGCGGCGUGCUUAACACAUGCAAGUCGAACGGAAAGGCCCUGCUCUUGUGGGGUGCUCGAGUGGCGAACGGGUGAGUAACACGUGAGUAACCUGCCCUUGACUUUGGGAUAACUUCAGGAAACUGGGGCUAAUACCGGAUAGGAGCUCCUGCUGCAUGGUGGGGGUUGGAAAGUUUCGGCGGUUGGGGAUGGACUCGCGGCUUAUCAGCUUGUUGGUGGGGUAGUGGCUUACCAAGGCUUUGACGGGUAGCCGGCCUGAGCAGGUGACCGGCCACAUUGGGACUGAGGUACGGCCCAGGCUCCUACGGGAGGCAGCAGUGGGGAAUAUUGCACAAUGGGCGGAAGCCUGAUGCAGCAGCGCCGCGUGCGGGAUGACGGCCUUCGGGUUGUAAACCGCUUUCGCCUGUGACGAAGCGUGAGUGACGGUAAUGGGUAAAGAAGCACCGGCUAACUACGUG